Molecule: long non-coding RNA, 5225 nt
Filed under: Homo sapiens (human)
Lineage: Eukaryota; Metazoa; Chordata; Mammalia; Primates; Hominidae
Description: HSALNT0392028
Source: RNAcentral
GGCCCCUGCGACUCCUGGUGCCCGGCUGGGACACGUGGGGCCGGCUUUGCGGAGUCAGCAGGGCCAAGGUGCGCGGGGUGCGCUCCCCCCCGGAACCCCGCCCCUUCUCACCCCAUCUCGCUUUUUUGGGAGAGGAGAGUGGAGCCGUCAGCACCCACUGGCAGUGUCGGUGCUGUGCUGGGAGUCCUCCCAGACCAGCCCACUCCUCCUGGUUUGAGCUUCCGAUCCAUCCCUACUCCUUUACGGUUCUUCUUCCCCGUAGUUAACCUGCGGAGAGGAGGAGGUACUGUCUCCGCACAAGGUACUGCGGAGGUACCUUGCGGAGGAACCUUGCGGAGGAGGUACUGCGGUGGGGAGGCAGGGGGGAGGCGCAUCUGCCUCCGCACAAGGGGUCUAAUGGCUUGCUUAUUCCUUCUAGGCCAGGUUGAAAGGUUUUUAAAAGCAGGUGGGGGUGCCAGGAUAGUGAGAAAAACAAGAAAAGACACUGCUUUUUACCCCAUGCGGGGCAGAGCUGGUCUCCUUUCUGCAGGUGUUGAGGGGAGUUGAGUAGGAGCCCAGAGCUGGUACAGGCCCCGUUUAACGUGCCCCCGCAGAGUGAGGGCUGGGGGUCACCCCAUAGGCAGGGGAGCCCUUCUGGGAGGGAAUUCCUGCUUAGGUGGGAGGUUGACCUGAAUGACAUCUAGGUCCUCUACCUCCCAGAUGCCGAAUUUUCAGGGAAGGAACCAAAUGGAUGUAUGGCCCAUGCCUGGGUUUGAAUCCCAGUUCUGGCCUUCAUUCCUCCAGGCCUCCAUUUCCUUGUCUGCACUAUGGGGCCAUGGUGAGAACUCUGAAAUAACACCAACUGCCUGGUGCUUGGUAGGUGCCACAUUACAAAAGCGGUGGGAAGGAGGCCCUUUGGUUUCCAUGUCGGUGGUCAUGUCCCACAGUCCCCGUUGCCAUCCUGAUUAUGGAAAACUUCAUUUCAUGCUCCAAAUGUUCCUCAAUUCCUGGCACUGUUCUAGGUCCUGCACCCAGGCUGGUAUGAAAAAGGUGCCGAGAAGGUCCCAUGCAUCACCAGCCUGGAGGUAGCAGCAGAAGGGAAACCAGUGCCUCUGAGAGUGGGCAACUGUGCCCCAUCCACCUCCUCUUCUUCUUGGAGAUCUCAAGAUAAGACAAGAGACAUCAACCUGGGAUUGGGUUUCUGGGCAGAGAGUAAAAGUGAGCUCCUUCUGCCUGUGCACGCAGCUUCCCUCGGUACUGGGAUAGCCGAGAUCCCUUACUAGAAGCAGCUCACAAAACCUCCCCCAGUUACUGGGAUAGCCCAGACACCUUCCUAGGGCAGCAGCGGAAGAAAGAAGGGGACAAAAUACCAACGACCAGAAAGAAGAAAGAACUUAGCCUCAGUCACCAGCCACUGGGAGCUGAUAGUAACUGAAGGGAUGGAAAGCCCUCUGGGACAGUUUUAGUGGGAGCCCUCCAGAGCCUGGAGAGACUGCAGGUGGAGCAGGAAGGUGGGGAAGAAUUAGAGCAGUGACCCCGGCCACUUUUGGCCUCACGGUUCUGCACAAUGAGACAUUGCUCAUCUUCAGAGAACCGUGCCAUUCUGGCCAUCUGGCAUCCUAGACAAUUUUCCACUGUCUCUCAGUAUCCAGCCAUCCAGCCAUCUAGCCUCCUAACUACUUCUCUGUGCUGGUCCAGCCCAGUGCUCAGAGUUAGGAUAUUUUUAUGAAUAAAACAGACCUAGCUUCUGCCCUCGUGGAGCUUACAGCGUGGGGCGAAAGGAGACUGAUCAAAAUGCCACACACAUGUAAUUUACAACCUUGGGAAGUGCCAAGAAGGGGAAGUGUUGGGUGCCACUGAGAACAUUCACAGAGGUUAACCUGGGGCUGAGGUGGAGGAAAGGUCAGAUGGAAGCUGUCUAACCACCCUGGGCUUCUGGCUUAGGAUGUGUAGGGCUAGCAGCUCAGCCCAUGAGGUUGUGUCUUGAACUUGGGUAUUGAUGGAAUAGCUAUAGAAACAGAACAACCAUGAAGUGAAGAUGGUGAAUGAAGAUCCUCUCAUCAGCUUGCGAUUGCAUGACAGAGGAGGCUGCAAGGACACUCAGGUGUGAAGACGGGUGAGUUGCCAGUUCUGGAGUGCAGAUGUGGUUACCAGCAGCCUCUGUUUUGGAGGCUACUCUGAAGCCAUAUUCAGCUUGGGAGGCCUCCUGCAGGGUUGACCCAGUUCUGGAACAAACCAAGGUGUUUGGGUCUGAACCAGGGCCUGAGCAGAUCCCAUCCCAUAUCCAGCUGAACUGUCUCACCCAGUCUGCAUUGAGUAUCGGUCCCAAGUGGAGGCCACAGGAAGAAGUGCUGUUCCCUAGUGGUCUUAGAUGCUUCAUCAGCUAAAGCGUGGGGCUCAGUCUCCUGGUGUCCACCUGUAAAAUGAAAGUGGUGUCCCAGAGUCUCUCCAAAGCUCCUUGUGGUGACUCUAUGGUCCUAAGAAACCGUUCACUUUAUAGGCCUAUCUCAGUGCACAGCUGAUGCCUCUGAUGCAGGGGUGGCUGUGGCUGUGCUGCCGCUCCUAUGGGGGAGGCAUCCUGGCCAGCACGCUCUUUGCACCUGAUGACUCCCUACGGCAGCUGCACAGCACUGCAGUUAGAAGCCCAGGCCACGUGGAUUUCAGCCCCGGCCCUACCACUCAGUAGCUGUGUGACCCUGGGCCAGGUGUUUGACCUCCCAAGGCACCCAUUUCCUCAUGGAGGUAAUAAUAGUAUCUAUAACCUCAGUUUACCACACGGAUGAAAAGACAAUGCAUGUAAGGGUUCCUCCGCGGCACCUGGCUCAGUGAGCAAUCUGUAAUUGUGAGCUGUUGUCAUUAAGAGGCCGUGGGAACACUAGUCGGUGGUGUGUAUAUCCAGGGGUGGGUGUUGCUUCUGGCAUCUCUCCUAAAUUCAAGCUGAUGAUGAAAGUCAUCAGAGAGACAGAACAAAAUACCCCACAAGCUAUGACAAAAGGAACCUGUAUUUCAUAAAUCAGAGAAGAGUAAAGGACAGAGACCAAAGCCAAUAACUAGUGUUUAAACAUGCAGAGAGAAAGAGAGACAGAGAGAGAGAUGUUUCCUCUGCCUUCCACUACCAUGGGCAGGUGGGAAAUACCACCGACCCUGGGGACCCUGGGAUGGUCCCUGAGUGGGCCGUGUGCCAGGAGCCUGGCCAGAGAGCCAAGAGUGGUCAUGGCCCCCUGGGAGUUCUACUCUUUUCUAGGCAGCAGCAGUGACUGAGACCUUGUACACAAAACUCAUUCAUUCAAUCAGUAUUUAUCUAGGACUUCCAGAAACAGUGCUAAGCUGUGCUGGAGAGUGAUAGUAAAAAAGACACAGUCCCUACCAGCGAGAGACAUUGGGUCCAGCUGAUGAGUAAGACAAGCCAACAGAGUAGGGCAACAAGACCAGGAUCCCUUCGGGGCAUUACUGAGCACACGGCCUCGGUCUGGAAUUCUGGACACAUUCUUCACCUUAACUGGGGGUGCAUUGGGGAUUUAAAACCCCCAAGAGCCAGGGAUCUUUCCCACCCAAGCUAAUUUCUGGGCAGCUGUGCCACUGCAGGGCAUGCAGAAGGAAGAGAGCCUUCCAGAGGAAAGUCGCCUUGUUCCUUGCUUUGUGACCCUCAUCUCUGCGAGGUAGAGAAGAAAAGGAGGGCUCUUCCAUCGGGAGCUUCCAAGGUUCCGGGUGAGAGCUAGCCAGCUCUGCAUUUGGAGCAGAGAGAGCAGUCCAUUCAACAUGGCAAUGCCCACACCCACCUCACAAGGCAUGGAUGACACAAAGAGAUGGCUUGCCUGCAAGAGACCCAGCUGGUCUGGAGUUGGAGGCACACUUCAUUUCUCUGCCCAGCUCGGCAGGCGGCUGGAGCAAACCAGGAGAUCGCCUCAAAUGUUUUAAAUGUCAAUAUGGUCCCUUCUUGCUGGCUUGCCAAGAUUUGACCAGCUAAAUUGGCCUGUGUGGUGUGUUCCCUGCAGUGCACGAUGAGAUAAAAAUGACUGGGCAUCCAGAUUAAUGACUGGAUCACAUGCAGGAACGUACUGGCUGUGAGCAGCCCUGGGCCAGGGCAGAGGUGAACUUGACAAUCAUGUGGACGCUGGCUUUUGAUUACUGCUUCUUCUGGGCUCACGCUACCCAGGGCUCUCUUUAGACCAUCUCUAGGUGAACUUUCUGCCCCAGGAAUGAUCACCUCCAUUUUACUGGUGAGAGGUUCAAGGACUUCCCUUCCUUCUUUCCUCCCUUCCCCUUCUCUCCACUUCCUUCUCCUUCCCUCCUACAUCAUUUUUCCCUUUCCUUUCUUCCUCCCUUCCUUUAGCAAAUAGCCCUGGAGCAGCUGACCGGUUCUAGGAGCUGAGAACAGGGUGAUGGGUAAGAGGGACAAGGGCUUGCUCUCACGGUGUUUACAUUCUAGUGGGGGCAGGAGACAAGUCAACAGAUCAAUAAUUUCAGAUAAGAACAGCUGCUCUAAGAAGAACAACUGGGGAGUGAGAUGCAGUCCACUUUAGGCCGGUGGUUGGGGACGGCUUCUCUUGAGAGGUGGCAUUUAGGGGACUAAAUGGUAACAAUGAGCUGGCCUUGGGCAGGUCUGGGGGCAGAGCCAUCAGUGCCAGGGCACAGAGCUAGGAAAUGCAGAGCAGCUGGUACCCACGACUGGUCUUGCCUGAACCCCUAAUCCUUGCUCUUUCUGCCACAUCCUGCUUUCCCACUUGGCCAAAGAAUUGUGGUUGGCCAAAGGUGGGGCUAAGCUGUGCAGUGGGAGGGGCCAGGCUGAGCUGGAGGUGGCCAGGAGCCUCCUGGUACAGGGCCCUGGUGCCAGUGUCCUCACCCUCCCAGAAUCCUGUUCAUUUGUGUUGAGGACAUGGGGUGAAGGAUCUGAAAAUGCAUGCGCAGGCAGACGACCCACCCAGGCCAUUCACAGCCGCAGCAGUUUGGGACUCUCCGCUUGGCCCAGGUAGGGAGGCACUUGCGGUCCUUCCCAGGCCUGCCGUGAGGCUCCAGGGCCAGCGCCUAUCCCCAGCCCCAAGGAGGCACUCCGAAGAACCUAUUUUAAAUCUCAGCUCAGCAUUUUUGGCCAACUUACAGAGAAGCUGCAAGAUGAGUAAAGGAACUUGCCUAUAUUUUUUAUCUAGAUUUACCAGUUGUUGACAUUUGCCCAUCUGCUUUGUCAUUGGUGCUCUCUCUAUUCUGUGUGUGUGUGUGUGUGUGUGUGUGUGUGUGUGUGUGUGUGU